GACGAACGCUGGCGGCGUGCUUAACACAUGCAAGUCGAACGGAAAGGCCUGCUUUCCCUUGUGGAUUGCGGGUACUCGAGUGGCGAACGGGUGAGUAACACGUGAGUGAUCUGCCCCCAACUUGGGUAUAAGCCUGGGAAACUGGGUCUAAUUCCCGAUAGGACUGCAGGGUGGUGCCUGUGGUGGAAAACGAUUUUCUAGUGGUUGGGGAUGAGCUCGCGGCCUAUCAGCUUGUUGGUGGGGUAAUGGCCUACCAAGGCGGCGACGGGUAGCCGGCCUGAGAGGGUGGACGGCCACAUUGGGACUGAGAUACGGCCCAGACUCCUACGGGAGGCAGCAGUGGGGAAUAUUGCACAAUGGGCGGAAGCCUGAUGCAGCGACGCCGCGUGGGGGAUGACGGCCUUCGGGUUGUAAACUCCUUUCGACCGCGAGGAAGCCACCUGGUUGGAAGGGUGGUGACGGUAGUGGGAGAAGAAGCACCGGCUAACUACG
This 492-nucleotide ribosomal RNA is filed under the name uncultured bacterium. RNAcentral's name for it is "partial 16S ribosomal RNA". It matches the Rfam family "Bacterial small subunit ribosomal RNA", at positions 28 to 505 of the family's 1533-position model. The record is from RNAcentral.